RNAcentral lists this long non-coding RNA (1313 nucleotides) under Heterocephalus glaber (naked mole-rat). RNAcentral describes it as "lncRNA (ENSHGLG00000028038.2)". The record is from RNAcentral. Lineage: Eukaryota; Metazoa; Chordata; Mammalia; Rodentia; Bathyergidae.
GGGGAAGUCAUUAAAAACUCAUUCAACUUUGAGGCUUUUGGUUGAUUUUCCCAGUUGAGCUGAGGCCAUGGAGACAAGAGGACAUCUGUGGACAGGAAGCCAGGCCAACAAGGUAGCCCAGAGCUCUUCAAUAAAGCAAACAAAUCAGGGCUUUGGGAGGUGGCAGAAAGGAAACGAGCAGAGUCCCACCCUAAGCCCAUCUUCCAGGCAGCCCAGAAAGCAGAAGACAGAGCCAUGUGUUCACUGGCCCAGGAGUGACAGCCUACUACACAGAUCGGAGGAAACAAAUGUGAAGAUGUUCAAAAAUCCAAAGCCAAGACGAAGGGGCUAUUCUCAACCUAUUGACCACAUCACAAGAAUGAAGACCCAGAUGACCACACCCCGGCCUCUUCUUCACAGAAAUAACUCAUGAAAUACCAUAUCCUCUAUAAACUCUUUCCUCUUUCAGAAAACUGCUCAUUUGAUCCCAUCCCAGAUGGCCUACAUGUAGCUUCUCCACCAAAUUUCUCAUCACACCAUGCCUUGGUUUGCUGCACAUUUAUAACGGCAAAUUUGCUUCAAGCAUGUUCACUUUAUUAGUCAUUUACUCAAGUGCACAUCUGUGGGAUAUAUUGUGUGCAUUCUGACUUAUGACAAACCACAAGGAUAUUGGGUACAUGCCUCACUAGCUCAGCAUGUGUAUUUUCUAAUAGUGUCUCUAUGUAAUAAAUGUUCUAUAGUUUCAAAAAAAUAAUGAGUGGAAAUAUGCACAAAUCAUAAAGGGCAGGCUCUGAUCAUCCUUUUUGACUCUUACAGCCAAGUUUUUAUGAGUCUAUUUGCAAAGGAGUAUGUCUCUUUAAUUUUUCUAUAAGUUUUUUCCUCUUUUUUCAAAAUAAAAGUCUCAAGAGCAGUAAAUCCUAUUAUUUUUUAAAUAAAAGAAAAAACUAUGGUCAAAAAUGUGUUGUUUCAUUAGUAAAGCUUUGCAUCAGUUUGAGUGCAGUUUGGCAAUGUGUUUUUUGGUCUGUUAUUAUCACUCUUUUUUAAUAAAAGAUGAAGUCUAUUUCAGAUGCCCAUUUUCAGACUGGGUCUUUAAAUUUGGGAGGUCUGAUCUUUUUAAGUUCUUUAUAGAUUUGAGAUAGCAGACCUUUGUCUGAGGAAGAGCAGAUGAAGAUUUUUUCCCACCUUGUGGGUUGUCUCUUCACACUGUUGGUGGUUUCUCUUGCUGUGCAGAAGCUUUUUAAUAAGAAGAGAUCCCACUUGCUGAUCAUUUGUGCUAGUUCACGGGCAACUGAGGUUUUGUUCAUAAAAUCUUUUCCUACACCAAUGUCUUCAAG